CGCCGCCCCCAAGCGCUGUCGCCUGCCCACGGGGAAGGCCGUCCCCCCUCUGAUCAGCGAGCCCGACUACCGCAAGCGGGGACUCGACGAGUGGAACUAUGUCAUCCCCCUCCCUGAGCCUUUGAAAGUUCGCUCCAGAGAAAUUAUAGCGAGUCACCUGUACAGUGGGUGUUCCUGCCAAAAGCGCAAUGGGCUCCAGGAUAACUGCAGGCGCUGGGACUGCCGGGGGGCGCCCCAUUGCUGCAAGACUGGACUUUGCAAGAACAGCGGAGGGGCAGGCUGUGAUGGCUCACUGUGCAGAAAGGGGUGAACAGUCAAAUUUCCAAGAAAAAUAACACAUUUAAAAGUUUGGGAUAAUUAAAAAGGAACAAAACCGUCUAACUUUAGUAAAAUGCGUUUAUUUGAAUGGCAAUGUCGAUGCAAAUAA
This is a long non-coding RNA of Frankliniella occidentalis (western flower thrips), 427 nucleotides long. RefSeq lists it as uncharacterized. The record is from RefSeq and is a predicted model, not a curated record. Lineage: Eukaryota; Metazoa; Arthropoda; Insecta; Thysanoptera; Thripidae. The transcript is spliced from 3 exons.